This 468-nucleotide ribosomal RNA is filed under the name Bosmina tanakai. Its description in RNAcentral is "Bosmina sp. DJT-2008 partial 16S ribosomal RNA". It matches the Rfam family "Bacterial large subunit ribosomal RNA", at positions 1838 to 2575 of the family's 2925-position model. Lineage: Eukaryota; Metazoa; Arthropoda; Branchiopoda; Diplostraca; Bosminidae. The record is from RNAcentral.
UUUAAAAAUUUAAGGUACCGCCUGCUCAAUGCUUUUAGUAAAUAGCCGCAGUAUUUUGACUGUGCUAAGGUAGCAUAAUCAUUAGUCUCUUAAUUGGAGGCUGGUAUGAAUGGUGAGACGAGAAAAAGACUGUCUCAAGGGGAAACAUGAAAUUCAUUUUUUAGUGAAAAAGCUAAAAUACUUUCAAGGGACGAUCAGACCCUAUGGAGCUUUAUUCUUUAUUUUAACUAAGUUUUUAAAAAUUUGUUAAGAAUAAGGAAUUUCGUUGGGGCGACGAAGAGUUAAAAGUAACACUCUUUUUUAUGAACAUUUUUAAAUGAAAAAUUGAUCCCUAAAGAAGGAUUAAAAGACUAAGUUACCCUAGGGAUAACAGCGUAAUUUUUUUGGAGAGUUCAAAUCGAUAAAAAAGUUUGCGACCUCGAUGUUGGAUUAGGAAUUUAGUUAGGUGCAGAUGUUUAACUGUAGAGU